AACGUAGGACGCAAGCGUUAUCCGGAGUUACUGGGCGUAAAGGGCGGGCAGGCGGUCUGUUAAGUUCGAGGUGAAAGCGCCCGGCUCAACCGGGCGAGGCCCUUGGAAACUGAUGGACUGGAGGGCAGUAGAGGCAGGCGGAAUUCCGGGUGGAGUGGUGAAAUGCGUAGAGAUCCGGAGGAACCCCAGAGGCGAAGGCGGCCUGCUGGGCUGCCCCUGACGCUGAGCCGCGAAAGCCAGGGGAGCGAACGGG
RNAcentral lists this ribosomal RNA (253 nucleotides) under uncultured bacterium. RNAcentral's name for it is "partial 16S ribosomal RNA". It matches the Rfam family "Bacterial small subunit ribosomal RNA", at positions 524 to 776 of the family's 1533-position model. The record is from RNAcentral.